AGGUAGCGAAAUUCCUUGUCGGGUAAGUUCCGACCUGCACGAAUGGCGUAACGAUCUCCACACUGUCUCGGCCAGAGACUCGGUGAAAUUGCAGUCGCGGUGAAAAUUCCGUGUACCCGCAGAAAGACGGAAAGACCCUGUGCACCUUUACUAUAGCUUGACAUUGGAUUUUGGGCCUGCAUGUGUAGGAUAGGUGGGAGGCUGUGAACCCUGUACGCCAGUAUGGGGGGAGCCAUCCUUGAAAUACCACCCUUGCAUGUUUAAGAUCCUAACUUCUUCCGGUUAUCCCGGAGAAAGACAGUGUCUGGCGGGUAGUUUGACUGGGGCGGUCGCCUCCUAAAGUGUAACGGAGGCAUGCAAAGGUUCCCUCAGCCUGAUCGGAAACCAGGCGCUGAGUGCAAACGCAUAAGGGAGCUUGACUGUAAGAGAGACAUCUCGAACAGGAACGAAAGUUGGCGUUAGUGAUCCGGUGGUCCCGUAUGGAAGGGCCAUCGCUCAUUGGAUAAAAGGUACGCCGGGGAUAACAGGCUGAUCGCAUCCAAGAGUUCACAUCGACGAUGCGGUUUGGCACCUCGAUGUCGGCUCAUCACAUCCUGGGGCUGAAGCAGGUCCCAAGGGUACGGCUGUUCGCCGUUUAAAGUGGUACGCGAGCUGGGUUUAAAACGUCGUGAGACAGUUUGGUCCCUAUCUUCUGUGGGCGAAGGAGAAUUGAGAGGGCCUGUCCCUAGUACGAGAGGACCGGGAUGGACGCACCCCUGGUGAUCCUGUUGUCGCGCCAGCGGCAUAGCAGGGUAGCUAUGUGCGGAAGGGAUAACCGCUGAAAGCAUCUAAGCGGGAAGCCUGCCUCAAGAUAAGUUCUCCCCUCGAAAGAGCUGAAGGGCCCGGGUAGACUACCCGGUCGAUAGGCUGGAGGUGUAAGCGCGGCGACGUGCUCAGCUGACCAGUACUAAUAGCCCGAGCGGCUUAUUUUU
Molecule: ribosomal RNA, 971 nt
Filed under: human gut metagenome
Description: bacterial LSU rRNA
Rfam family: Bacterial large subunit ribosomal RNA
Source: RNAcentral